RNAcentral lists this ribosomal RNA (492 nucleotides) under uncultured bacterium. RNAcentral's name for it is "partial 16S ribosomal RNA". It matches the Rfam family "Bacterial small subunit ribosomal RNA", at positions 29 to 507 of the family's 1533-position model. The record is from RNAcentral.
AGUGAACGCUGGCGGUAGGCCUAACACAUGCAAGUCGAACGGCAGCACAGUAAGAGCUUGCUCUUACGGGUGGCGAGUGGCGGACGGGUGAGGAGUACAUCGGAAUCUACUUUUUCGUGGGGGAUAACGUAGGGACACUUACGCUACUACCGCAUACGACCUACGGGUGAGAGCAGGGGAGCUUCGGACCUUGCGCGAUUGAAUGAGCCGAUGUCGCAUUAGCUAGUUGGCGGGGUAAAGGCCCACCAAGGCGACGAUCCGUAGCUGAUCUGAGAGGAUGAUCGGCCACACUGGAACUGAGACACGGUCCAGACUCCUACGGGAGGCAGCAGUAGGGAAUAUUGGGCAAUGGGCGCAAGCCUGAUGCAGCCAUGCCGCGUGAGUGAAGAAGGUCUUCGGGUUGUAAAGCCCUGUUGUUAGGAAAGAAAAGCUGUAUAAGUAUACCCUGCUGUUCUGACGGUACCCAAAGAGUAAGCACCGGCUAACUUCGUG